CCUACGGGUGACAGCAGUAGGGAAUAUUGCUCAAUGGGGGAAACCCUGAAGCAGCAACGCCGCGUGGGGGAUGAAGGUUUUAGGAUUGUAAAAUCCUGUUGUGAGAGAAGAUAAUGAGUGUAUGUCACGAAUAAGGACCGGCUAACUCCGUGCCAGCAGCCGCGGUAAUACGAAGGGUGCAAGCGUUACUCGGAAUCACGGGGCGUAAAGAGUGCGCAGGCGGGUUUGUAAGUCAGAUGUGAAAUCCUGUAGCUUAACUACAGAACGGCAUUUGAAACUAUGAGUCUAGAGUGGAGGAGAGGUAGGUGGAAUUCCUGGUGUAGGGGUAAAAUCCGUAGAUAUCAAGAGGAAUACUCAUUGCGAAGGCGACCUACUGGACCAUUACUGACGCUCAUGCGCGAAAGCGUGGGGAGCAAACAGGAUUAGAUACCCCUGUAGUC
Molecule: ribosomal RNA, 440 nt
Filed under: uncultured bacterium
Lineage: Bacteria
Description: partial 16S ribosomal RNA
Rfam family: Bacterial small subunit ribosomal RNA
Source: RNAcentral